This 338-nucleotide unclassified non-coding RNA is filed under the name soil metagenome. RNAcentral's name for it is "partial contains 5.8S ribosomal RNA, internal transcribed spacer 2, and large subunit ribosomal RNA". The stretch from base 1 to 120 matches the Rfam family "5.8S ribosomal RNA", at positions 35 to 154 of the family's 154-position model. The record is from RNAcentral.
GAUGAAGAACGCAGCGAAAUGCGAUACGUAGUGUGAAUUGCAGAAUUCAGUGAAUCAUCGAAUCUUUGAACGCACAUUGCACCUCUCGGUAUUCCGGGAGGUAUGUCUGUUCGAGCGUCAUUUGUACCCUCAAGCUCUGCUUGGUGUUGGGUGUUUGUUCCGCCUCUGUGUGUGAACUCGCCUCAAAACAAUUGGCAGCCGGCGUACUUGUUUCGGAGCGCAGCACAUUUUGCGAUCCAGAUCAACGUACAGCGGCAUCCAAGAAGCCUUAUUUAACGCUCUUGACCUCGGAUCAGGUAGGGAUACCCGCUGAACUUAAGCAUAUCAUAAGCGGAGGA